RNAcentral lists this transfer RNA (77 nucleotides) under Deinococcus sedimenti. RNAcentral describes it as "tRNA-Glu". It matches the Rfam family "tRNA". Rfam says of the family: Transfer RNA (tRNA) molecules are approximately 80 nucleotides in length. Their secondary structure includes four short double-helical elements and three loops (D, anti-codon, and T loops). Lineage: Bacteria; Thermotogati; Deinococcota; Deinococci; Deinococcales; Deinococcaceae. The record is from RNAcentral.
GGCCUCAUGGUGGAAGUGGUCAACACACCUGGCUUUCAACCAGGAGAGUGCCGGUUCAAACCCGGCUGAGGUCACCA